Long non-coding RNA from Oxyura jamaicensis (ruddy duck), 940 nucleotides. RefSeq lists it as uncharacterized. The transcript is spliced from 3 exons. The record is from RefSeq and is a predicted model, not a curated record. NCBI's taxonomy places the organism in Eukaryota, Metazoa, Chordata, Aves, Anseriformes, Anatidae.
UUCAUUUUAUUUAGUUCAGGUGCCCCGGCUGCUCCUGCUGCACUCAGCAGUGCUUUUUGCGCGCUUUCUGCACACCUCGUGCCUUCAAGUUGCUCCCUGCCAGGCCGAGUGUUGGGGGGAGAAGCUGAGAAUCAAGCAGCACGUGUGUCCUUUGUGAGCUGCCCUCGGCCAUGCUAUGCACAGACAGUAGCAUGCGUCUUGGCAAGAAGUCAGCAACUCGUAAGAUAGCAGGCAUACUUUUCCUUUAGUAGGAACCUAUGGGAAUAACUUAAUACUGUACUGCAAGAUGUGUCUAACUAGUGCUUGAAGAAGAGGAGUGAUAGAUAACGACUGCACCUCAAAAACCUGUAAAACAUUGUUAACUGUGCCUGUAAGAUUGCAAAGCUCGCUUUUGCAGAGACCUUUUCCAGCACAGAUCCCCAACUCCCUUUCUCCCUACUGUUACUCACGGAAACUCAGCUCCAUUCUUUUGUGAGCUCAGGCUCAUGUUUGCUUUAGGUUUUAGAAAAAGUAAGCCUGUUAGACGGUCAUGCUUGGUUACCUGCAAUUUUCCUGAAGACCUGUCAAGGAGUUUGCUAUCUUUUGCUCAACGUUUGAUCCUGGAAUUCAGAACAUGCUAAAGUGAUGCAAUUGAUUAGGUGAGGUACCACCGGCCGUUUUACAGCCCUUUGGCCCACUGGGGACAGCGAACGGGUCUGUUUUUAUGUUCUUUUGCUCAAGAAUGAGGCACUUGGUUUGGAGAGGUGCCAGGCCGAGCCACAGGAACAGUUCCGCAGCAGAUCUUAGACAUGAGAGGAGCCAGGGUUUGGUUUAGGAAGGCAAAACCUCUGGAAGCCAUGAAUUCCUGCUGCACCGCCACUGAGGUGGCUGGGGAGCCGUGGUGGGGCUGGCUUUGGUACAAGAGCGAGCUGGUUUUGGAAGGGACACGUGUGUAAACAUG